RNAcentral lists this ribosomal RNA (253 nucleotides) under uncultured bacterium. Its description in RNAcentral is "partial 16S ribosomal RNA". It matches the Rfam family "Bacterial small subunit ribosomal RNA", at positions 524 to 776 of the family's 1533-position model. The record is from RNAcentral.
GACGUAGGGGGCCAGCGUUGUCCGGAAUUAUUGGGCGUAAAGAGCUCGUAGGCGGUUUGUCGCGUCUGCCGUGAAAGUCCGGGGCUCAACUCCGGAUCUGCGGUGGGUACGGGCAGACUAGAGUGAUGUAGGGGAGACUGGAAUUCCUGGUGUAGCGGUGAAAUGCGCAGAUAUCAGGAGGAACACCGAUGGCGAAGGCAGGUCUCUGGGCAUUAACUGACGCUGAGGAGCGAAAGCAUGGGGAGCGAACAGG